Molecule: long non-coding RNA, 797 nt
Filed under: Anas platyrhynchos platyrhynchos (common mallard)
Lineage: Eukaryota; Metazoa; Chordata; Aves; Anseriformes; Anatidae
Description: lncRNA (ENSAPLG00000019552.1)
Source: RNAcentral
AUGUCAAACUGUAAUCAUACAGUCCAAUGGAGAAUGUUCAACUGGGGAGUGAACAAGCUAUGGUUGGAGCCCGGUGAGUUAGUACUGUCUAUUUGGCUGGGGUUUCCAGAUCUUGGGAGGCAACUGGGGAAGUGCCUGAGUCCCACAGCUCUCAGGCAGGAGCAUUGGUUGGUCUACUAAGGUGAAGAGUCCUGGGCCUCAUGUGUACCUGGAUGCCUUGACAGAAAUGUGGGCUUAAUCCAGUGAUUGGUGCUUCAUGGGGCAUCUCUGAAGACUUCAGCAGCACUGCAGAAAUGUUGCAGAUUUCGACAGGGAAGUGCCGAGGUAGGAACUAUAUCUGAUCUGAGAGCAUUCAUGCUCCAUAAGGUGCCAGAUUUUUGAACUUCUUUGACCACAGCAUGUGAUUUUCUUCAGUGUUGUGCUCAGCUCUCUGAGACAUGACUUUUUAUAAGCACCCAACUGAUACAAGAACACAAGUUCCAUUGAUUUUAAAGUGCUUGAAGUUCCUGUUUAUAUCUUUUCUUUAUAGUGGGGAGGCUGGGGAGAGAAGGGGCAGCUGUUGCACUGGUGUCCCUGCAAAUAUUUGAUUUUCUCUUUGAAACAGUAGCUAUGACUCUCAGAGGGGGAUAGUGAUUACAUUCUUAGAAUGUGUAAGUUAUAAAACUAGCCUUGUGAUCAGUUAAAAAAUGUGCAAGAAAGUACUUGCAUUCAGGAAAGUUAAUGUUCAAGUUUCAUUUCCUUUGGAGAAAAAUAUCAAUUCAGAGGAGCAAUAAAAGAUAGAAAAGAAUGGUAAACCA